This 73-nucleotide transfer RNA is filed under the name Paramuricea clavata. It matches the Rfam family "tRNA". From Rfam's summary of the family: Transfer RNA (tRNA) molecules are approximately 80 nucleotides in length. Their secondary structure includes four short double-helical elements and three loops (D, anti-codon, and T loops). Lineage: Eukaryota; Metazoa; Cnidaria; Anthozoa; Malacalcyonacea; Plexauridae. The record is from Rfam by way of RNAcentral.
GCCUCUGUAGCCCAGUUGGUUAGAGCGCUGCACCGGAAUCGCAGGGCCGUAGGUUCAAUUCCUACCAGAGGAC